RNAcentral lists this long non-coding RNA (411 nucleotides) under Callithrix jacchus (white-tufted-ear marmoset). Its description in RNAcentral is "lncRNA (ENSCJAG00000084406.1)". The record is from RNAcentral. Lineage: Eukaryota; Metazoa; Chordata; Mammalia; Primates; Cebidae.
AGGGAAUGGAUUUAAGGACACACAGCAGGAGCUGGCUGGAUUCAUUUUAUUUUGGGGGUAGUUGGGGGAGGAAUAUCAUUUCUGAAAUGCCCAAGGAAUGAAGGGAGAGGAUAUGGAUUUCUUAAACAGUUUUUGCAAGAGGAGCGGUGUCUUGUUUUGCAGGUUCAGCCAAGGCUAGACCUGAAAGCAAUGCAUGGCCACAGCGAAAUGUCCUGUGACUUUUCACCCCGCAUGAGUUCUCCUGAGAAUGGAGCAGGACUAAGGUGGAAUCCCUGUGGGAUAAAGGGCAGAAGAUCAGGUGUCCAAAGGCAUCUCUGUUGGCCCAGCAAGAAGAGUGCUUUAUUGGGGUAGCAGCAUCCACUUCCUAGUGCACAAAUCUCCUACUCAUAUGCCCAAAGCAUACCAUAGCAU